RNAcentral lists this non-coding RNA (45 nucleotides) under Schistosoma haematobium. The record is from RNAcentral. Lineage: Eukaryota; Metazoa; Platyhelminthes; Trematoda; Strigeidida; Schistosomatidae.
AUCCAGCUGAUGAGUUCCAAAUAGGACAAAACGAGAGUCCUGGAU